UGAUCUGAAAUCAGGUAGGAUUACCCGCUGAACUUAAGCAUAUCAAUAAGCGGAUGAAAAGAAACUAACAAGGAUUCCCUUAGUAACGGCGAGUGAAGCGGGAAGAGCUCAAAUUUGAAAUCUGACAUUAUACCAGUGUCCGAGUUGUAACCUAGAGAGAUGUUUUCGGUGGGCGCCUGGGUUUAAGUCUCUUGGAAUGGGGCAUCAUAGAGGGUGAGAAUCCCGUCUUUGAUUCGGAGCAGCCUACUAUGUGAUACAUCUUCAAAGAGUCGGUUUGUUUGGGAAUGCAGACCAAAAUGGGUGGUAAAUUCCAUCUAAAGCUAAAUAUAGGCGAGAGACCGAUAGCGAACAAGUACCGUGAGGGAAAGAUGAAAAGAACUUUGAAAAGAGAGUUAAACAGUACGUGAAAUUGUUGAAAGGGAAACGUUUGGAAUUAGUCUUGUAGGCAAGAAAUCAGCUUGGCUUUUGGGCCNAGUGCAUUUUCUUGUUUUACAGGUCAGCGUCAGUUUUGGUUGCCAGAAAAAAGCUAAGAGAAUGUGGCUCGCUUCGGUGAGUGUUAUAGCUCUUGGCCGAUAUGGUGACUGGGACUGAGGUCUGCAGCCAACCGGUUUUAACCGUCAGGGGACUUCAUUCGCUAGUGGUAGUUUUUUUAUGAACAGCUUGCUGAUCAUGAUUAGAUUUGCUGCUACUCGUUUGUGUGUCUCUCU
RNAcentral lists this ribosomal RNA (707 nucleotides) under Sphaerocreas pubescens. RNAcentral's name for it is "eukaryotic LSU rRNA". It matches the Rfam family "Eukaryotic large subunit ribosomal RNA", at positions 1 to 620 of the family's 3401-position model. Lineage: Eukaryota; Fungi; Mucoromycota; Endogonomycetes; Endogonales; Densosporaceae. The record is from RNAcentral.